GAUGAACGCUAGCGGGAGGCUUAACACAUGCAAGCCGAGGGAGAAGUUGUUUUCGGACUCCGGACACCGGCGGACGGGUGAGUAACAUGUAUGCAACUUGCCUCUAUCAGUGGGAUAACCCGGGGAAACCCGGACUAAUACCGCAUAACAAAUGGAUCAGCAUUGAUUUAUUUUAAAAGAUUUAUCGGAUAGAGAUAGGCAUGCGUAGGAUUAGUUAGUUGGUGAGGUAACGGCUCACCAAGACGAUGAUCCUUAGGGGGCCUGAGAGGGUGAUCCGCGACACUGGAACUGAGAGACGGUCCAGACUACUAAGGGAGGCAGCAGUGGGGAAUAGUGGACAAUGGGCGCAAGCAUGAGCAAGCAAUACCGCGUGGGUGAAGAAGGACUUAGGGUGGUAAAGCAAUGUUGUUGGGAAAGAAAAGCAGCAGGUGAAUACCCAGCUGUUCUGACGGUACACAAAGAAGAAGAAACGGCUAACUUAGGG
Molecule: ribosomal RNA, 484 nt
Filed under: uncultured bacterium
Lineage: Bacteria
Description: partial 16S ribosomal RNA
Rfam family: Bacterial small subunit ribosomal RNA
Source: RNAcentral